This 2058-nucleotide long non-coding RNA is filed under the name Phasianus colchicus (ring-necked pheasant). Its description in RNAcentral is "lncRNA (ENSPCLG00000003063.1)". The record is from RNAcentral. Lineage: Eukaryota; Metazoa; Chordata; Aves; Galliformes; Phasianidae.
GCUGAAUCAUGGCCUGAACCUCUGAUUGACCACCUGAGGCAAGCAAUGAGUCAGCCCUGGGAGCACAGGUGGAGGUAAUUGCUGCCGGAAGUAGAACCUUGCUCCACCUCUCCCAGACCCCAUUUAAGAUCUGACUACCAUUAGGGAAGGGUCUCUUUUGGAGAUCGUUCCUCUUGGAGUCUUCUCAGUAAGCCCAGAAUGGGGGUAAGCUUUCCAUCCGUCCAUUCUUUUUUAGUGUGAUAACUUGUUUAGCAUAACUUGCUUAUAUAUUUCUUAAUUAUAACAUUCAUAUAUUCAUUGAUUAUGCAAAAGCUGUUUUCUGUUAUGUUAAUUUUUGACUUAACAAAUGAAUUCUGUUAUGAGGCAGACAAAUUCAUUGUAAGUAUGUUUAUCUGAGGUCUGACCUUCUUGGGGUAAUUAGAUAUUGAUAGUAGUGGGAUACUGAUGUUACAGAAUAGGUUAAUAAUGAUGUGACACAGGCUUGGAUAGCCUUGUUUACUACGGAUAACAAUAAGAAAAAUCACAUAUUUUUGUUCUAUUUCUGGAUAUAUCUUUCGUUAAGAAAAAAAAAUCAAGCAAUCCAGGUUAUUUGAAGUCAUCCAAAAACAAACAAAAACAAAGCAGAAUAUCUGUACCUGAUACUAAAGGAAUCUAUAGCUUUAAAGAGUUUAUAUUUUUUUUUCUCCAGGUCAGAAAUAUGCAAAGCCACAUACUGAUGCUACACUUAUAGGAUAAAAGCCACGAAAGAAGAAUUUGGAGUUAACCAUUUGGAAUACAACUUGGGUGCUUCAAAUGGUGCAUCAAAGUCUGACAGUAACAAGGUCUCCUGAAGAGCUGUGGGGAUAUAAUUUCAGAGGUCCUGUUGCUUCUAUGGCUGCUGCAGCUGGCAAGGAGUGGAGUAGCUUGGGACUGUUCCAGCUGGUGUGUGGCAACCUGGAAUACCUGCAACAAGCAAGCUGGCCCUUACCUUCUGCUUGCAUCCUGCUAAGGAAUCUUGGAAAGAUUUUGACAAGAAGGUUGUCACAUGCUCCCCCUUCAGCACUAAUUGUAUCAUCACUUUUGAAAGUCCCAGGCAAUUUUAGAGGUACCAGCUGCCUUACAGGAGCAAAACUGGAUACUAUUCAGCAUGACUGUUUUAAUUUAUCAAUACUGAUGUAUAAAGAGUACUGUUUGUUGUGGGGAUUAGCUGUUGUCCCAUUUCACCUUGUGUUCUGAAUGAUAAAUGGUUAUGCAAGCUGCCUUCAAUAUAAUUUGUCAUACAAACUCUAUAUAAUUAUUAAGAUAAGAUAAUAUGUGACAAUAUUUAUGGAAUAAUAUCCUCCCAAUCAUUCAGCUGCUUCUAAAUGCUAAGGGCUAAUUAGAUGAUUUUUGCCUCUGAGAUCUGGUAAUCAUUUGUUGACAGAUAUUAAAUGAUUCAACUGUUUUCUCCCAUGAAAGAUAUGCUAUUUUUGGUUUUCCUUUUUUUUUUUCCUUCUUCUUUCUUCUUUUUUUUUUUUUUUUCCUGUUAAUAUGGAUGCAGUAGUUAAUUAAAGCUCAAGACGUUUACAACAUCCAGCAUUUGAAUUGCACUACACUUCGCUUCAAAACUAUGAGCAAUUAACGCAUAGGGCCUUUUAAAAUUAAUUGCAAGCUUUACUAACAAUAUAGUAUUUUACUUCAUUAAAACAAGAUUUUGCUAUCCAGCUGCUUUGAUCUGCAGCCAGUGCUGCAGUCUGGUCCACAGAGAAGCACACACAUAACAGAAAAGACCUUCCAAGACAUUUACUGAGGCAUAUGUCUUUUAUUGGAAACUUGUAGUGCUAUGUAGUGUAGCAUUUCCCUAACAGCUCAUCACCUAUACUCCUUCCCUGUGGCCAGUUGCAGAUCAUUCCUAUGGCAGGAAAAGGGAUUAUGGCUGAAGAAAAAGAGUGGUGGCCUGUGUCACCCGUUCCAGUUUCAGUGUGUCUAAUAACUAACGAAACCAACAGAAACUUUUGGGCCCUUCUGACUAGGAAUGAACAUGGGACAGAAGGUGGUUGGGAGAAUAAAGCUCAUCUUUGUAAUGCUUAGUCUAUGAUU